Molecule: non-coding RNA, 91 nt
Organism: Amylocystis lapponica
Lineage: Eukaryota; Fungi; Basidiomycota; Agaricomycetes; Polyporales; Postiaceae
Source: the annotation of a GenBank genome assembly
UGCCCCAUGGCUGAGUUGGUUACAGCGUCCGACUGUUAUCGUUGUAUGCGAAGACAUCGGAAGGUCGAGAGUUCGAGCCUCUCUGGGGCAG